UAAGGAAUUUUUCGCAAUGGGGGAAACCCUGACGAAGCGACACCGCGUGAAGGAUGAAGGCCUUUUGGUUGUAAACUUCUUUUCUGAGGGAAUAAAUAUGAAUGUACCUCAGGAAUAAGCAACGGCUAACUACGUGCCAGCAGCCGCGGUAAGACGUAGGUUGCAAGCGUUAUCCGGAAUUACUGGGCGUAAAGAGUUUGUAGGUGUUUUGUUAAGUAGAGUGUUAAAGGCUGGGGCUUAGCCCCGGUAAGGUACUCUAAACUGGCAGAAUUGAGUAAUGCAGAGGUAGAUGGAAUUCUGUGUGUAGGGGUAAUAUCCGUAGAUACACAGAGGAACACCAAAAGCGAAGGCAGUCUACUGGGCAUUUACUGACGCUCAAGAACGAAAGCGUGGGGAGCAAACAGA
Molecule: ribosomal RNA, 405 nt
Filed under: uncultured bacterium
Lineage: Bacteria
Description: bacterial SSU rRNA
Rfam family: Bacterial small subunit ribosomal RNA
Source: RNAcentral